AGUCAACUCACAAGUAGUUGCUGGCUCCGGUACCCCAAAAGAGGAUGGAGACGACGCCGUACAAGUAGCUGUGAUUGUUCCAAUUCAUUUUGUCUAGUGUAAAAAAAUACCAGUAGGGCAGCAGAAAACAUCCGCAAGCUAACUUGAAGCAAAAACCAAUCAUUACACCUCCGGCGCCGAUCCACAUGAGGGUGUACAACGCUAUGGUCCACGAUCGAUGUCGGAGAAACCCCUUUCCUCCACGAUGUCGAUUACC
Molecule: unclassified non-coding RNA, 256 nt
Filed under: Athalia rosae (coleseed sawfly)
Lineage: Eukaryota; Metazoa; Arthropoda; Insecta; Hymenoptera; Athaliidae
Description: misc RNA ENSAEAG00005002814.1
Source: RNAcentral